AAGAUGGCGUCACUUCUACGGGUGUCUGUGUGAACGAUUCUAGUUGCCGCUGAAAAAAUUGAUAUUUCUCGCAUAAAAUACAACUACCGGCCGCGUUAACCGAACGAAAAGCGUUAAUACAUAAUUCCGGUGUGAUUUACAAUUGAAAUUGUGCCAGUGCGUGCGCCAGUCGCUGUUAAAUCCCAACGCAAAGGAUUGUGUGUGUGCAUCCAGAUAAUUUCGAGUGCAUGUGAUGCCAAAAAACACAAAAUAAACCAAGAAGCAACAAGACAGAAGAGAAGAGCUCGCAAAAGCCAGUGUACGCAGAGAGAGAGUGCAGCUAGAGGAAUAUGUGAAAGAUUCAAUCGAAAAAUUGAUGUGCCAUUUAGGAGCAGAAGCAGAAGCAGAAGCAGCAACAUAGAAGCUAAGCGAGACGCGAGAGUAUUAUCCACAAAUAAAGUCAGAAAGGCGCAACAGUGCAACAAUCCCUCCAGCAACAACAAGAACCUGAAAACAACAACAGCAGACAGCAGCAAACAGAACGGAAAUCUAGAAACAGUGUAAAUACAACUGUAACGAAUUUAAAGCAAAACUACAGCAGCAGCAGCAGCAGUUGCCAGAUACAUUUCAUGCCACCCGCAGACGUUGGUUGAUAAAUGUCAAGAUAAGUCGCUACCGUUUCAACACCGCCAUCAACAUAACACAGCAACAGAGGCAGCAACAACUGCAACAGCAACAACAGCAACAGCAGACGGGUAUACUGAACAGAGAGAAACAUCCAACAUCACAGCAUUUGUUGCCAUUCGAGGAGCAGCAAAGGACAACAGGAACAACAGCAGCAGCAGCAGCAGCUGAAGCUGAACAGGAGAAGCUCUGCAUAGGCGUCGGUGGCAGCGGCAGCAGCAGCAGCAGCAGCACCAGCAGCAGCAGUAGCGGCUUAACCAAAGGUCGAGGAAACAACUGCAAGACGCCAAACUCUACUGCAAAAGUCGCCAACAUAACACAUAAAAUUUUCGGUUGGCUACGCAAGUCGCGAAACAAACGACCAGUCGAGAUCCUACGAAGCGAUUUCGAAGGCGAAGACGGCGACGGAGACGAGGGGGAAGGAGGAGCAGAAGCAGCACCUGGGAGUGCAGCUGCAGGUGGGUCAGGUGCAGGUGGUGCAGCAGCCGAUCAAUUUUCUGUGGCAAACGUUCGAUAUAAAGCCGGCAAGCUGAAUACCACACAGACAGCCACGGAGACCACCACCGCCAUCGAUUCAAACGAACCCAAAUCUGAAAAGAUGUCAUCGGGGGGCACGUUUGUGGAUCGAAUCGACCCGUUCGCCAAACGUUCACUCAAAAAGAAGGGUAAAAAGAGUCAAGGUUCCUCGCGCUACAGAAAUUCACAGGAUGUUGAGUUGCAGCAAUUGCCGCCGCUAAAAGCCGAUUGCUCCAGCCUCGAACAGGAGGAGCUUUUUAUACGAAAGUUGCGUCAGUGCUGCGUAUCAUUUGACUUUAUGGAUCCCGUCACGGACUUGAAGGGCAAGGAAAUCAAGCGGGCGGCACUCAAUGAUCUAUCCACCUAUAUAACGCAUGGGCGCGGUGUGCUUACGGAACCGGUCUAUCCGGAAAUAAUACGCAUGAUUUCUUGCAACUUAUUUCGCACACUGCCGCCCAGCGAGAAUCCCGACUUUGAUCCCGAGGAGGAUGAUCCAACAUUGGAGGCCUCCUGGCCCCACCUUCAGCUGGUGUAUGAGGUGUUCUUACGCUUCCUGGAAUCACAGGAUUUCCAAGCAACCAUUGGCAAGCGUGUGAUCGAUCAGAAGUUUGUCUUGCAGCUCUUGGAACUGUUCGACUCUGAGGAUCCACGCGAGCGUGACUUUCUCAAGACGGUGUUGCAUCGCAUCUAUGGGAAGUUCUUAGGAUUACGCGCUUUUAUACGAAAACAAAUCAAUAACAUAUUCUUGCGAUUCAUCUACGAGACGGAGCAUUUCAAUGGUGUAGGCGAACUAUUGGAAAUACUCGGCAGCAUCAUCAAUGGCUUUGCCUUGCCACUGAAGGCUGAGCAUAAACAGUUUUUGGUCAAGGUUCUGUUGCCGCUGCACAAAGUCAAAUGCCUAUCGCUAUAUCAUGCACAGUUGGCAUAUUGUAUUGUACAAUUCCUAGAGAAGGAUCCAUUCCUUACCGAGCCGGUGGUGCGGGGCCUGCUCAAAUUCUGGCCAAAGACGUGUUCCCAAAAGGAGGUCAUGUUCUUGGGCGAAAUUGAGGAGAUACUCGAUGUGAUCGAUCCGCCGCAGUUUGUCAAGAUACAGGAGCCGCUCUUCCGGCAGAUUGCCAAAUGUGUCUCGAGUCCACAUUUUCAGGUUGCUGAACGCGCUCUAUAUCUGUGGAAUAAUGAGUAUGCCAUGUCGCUGAUUGAGGAGAACAAUGCGGUGAUUAUGCCCAUCAUGUUCCCGGCUCUAUAUCGCAUCAGCAAGGAGCACUGGAACCAGACCAUUGUGGCGCUCGUCUAUAAUGUAUUGAAAACAUUCAUGGAAAUGAAUUCAAAGCUGUUCGAUGAGCUCACCUCCAGCUACAAGGCGGAGAGGCAAAAGGAAAAGAAACGUGAACGCGAUCGCGAGGAACUGUGGAAGAAGCUGCACGAACUCGAAUCGAAUCGUUCUAAUGGGCGCACCGCAGGCGGCAGCGCUGCUGCGAAUGCAUCGAACAGCGCUUCAUCAUCAAACGCGGCGGCGUCCACGUCCUCCCAAUUGCAGCCACCAACCAGCAGCACAGCCGCCAUUAACUCUCAUCAGCAGCAGCAGUCGAAUAGCAGCAGCAGCGGAAGUCUGUCCAGCGGCGGCGCCGGCGGUGAAAAUAAUCCUGCGACCACAAAUGCAAAAAUCAAACAGGAUAAGGCGGCGGACAACUAAACAGCCAGCAGCACACGCAAAACGCAAGGCAUGCGCCCGAAAAAUAACUAACAAUAAUGAAAAAACACGAGAGCCGUAAAGCGCAGUCCGUUGGCUAACACGUAAAAGCAUCUAUCGUUCCACAUCCCACACGUAACAGAUAGACAAGAGACAGACGGAUAGACACAGAGAGAGAGAGAGAGAGAGAGAGCGGGGAGGCCGACAGGCAGGCAUCUACUACAGGAGCAGGAGGAGUCGAAGGGAAUACAAAAGAAAAGAAUGGAAAUUGAGGAAGAACCUAUAUGGCCUAAAUACUAAGCAACGUAUGUAAGAAGGUUUUGCAUCUUUAUAUUAGCGUGUAAUUAAACGAAAUUAAAACCGAAAGCUAAAGAUUUAACAGCCAAGGAUAGUAAUUGCCAUUUGAUAAGCAAUAGACAGACACACACAGAUGUUAGGUCUUAACUGCCUCUAAAGACACAAACCACAAAGAAAAACCAAACACCAAGGAACAGGACCGCAGAGAGAGAGAGAGAGAGAGUCGAAGCAACACAGAAAUAUCUCGUAAAAUUCCUAAACCAUAAAUCACUCCAGUUCACUCGCCACAGAUACUAGCACUAGACCCUCCCUCCUCCCCUCCUAUAGCAUCCAUCUCUAGUUAAUGUUUGAAGAAGCUCACAUAGGAUGCCAAUCAGAAUUUAAACAACAAAAAAACCAGCAUUAUUAUAUAGAGCGAAUGAUGAUGGAAAUGUAAAAAAAAAACAAAUGUUGAAAAGAAGAAAAAAUGAACACAAAAAUGGAUGAUAUAUAGUAGGUAUACAUUGCAUACUCGUUAAAGACGAGCAUAAGUGUCCCUUCAAAUACGAGUAUAUAUAUAUAUAGGUUACACACACAUACAAACAAACAAACAAAAAAAAAACAUUUAUAUAAUUUGCGUUCCGUUUUUGUAUUCUUGUGAUUGUCGUUUUCCGUUGCACCCUGAGUUAAUCAAUCGGUUUUAGUGUCUGCUUUCAAGAACUUGUAUGGGUAAACUUAACUAUAGUUUCUAUUAUUGUAUUUAUAUGUACUAUGUAUAAACUAUAAAACGAGCAUGUUAAAAUGUAGUAGCCAGUAGCCAGUAUGCUUAGGACCCGGGCUAAGCGACAGAUGAUGAAUGAUAAUGAUGGUGUAAGCAAAAAUGCAAAAGCAAAACUCGUUAAGUACUUUUAGAGACAAACAACAAACAACCCUGUACUAAAGAAGUGUACUAAAAGAAUAAAGUCGCAUUAACAACGUUGCAAAAAGUAAAUAAAUAAAUGCAUUAAACAAAAACUUAAAGAAGACAAAA
Molecule: RNA transcript, 4175 nt
Organism: Drosophila guanche
Lineage: Eukaryota; Metazoa; Arthropoda; Insecta; Diptera; Drosophilidae
Gene: wdb
Gene name: serine/threonine-protein phosphatase 2A 56 kDa regulatory subunit epsilon isoform
Exons: 10
Source: RefSeq, a predicted model, not a curated record